AAAAAAACAAACCCUUGGUUUUCGUGUCCAACGUUUGACCGUUCGUCUUAUUUGAAAAAAUUAAAAAGACAAGUCACGCAUAAAGUAUUAAUCAUGUUUUAUCAUCUAACAACAAUUAAAAUACUAAUUAUAAAAAAAUUUAUAUAAGACGGAUAGUUAAACGUUGGACAUGAAAAUUCAGGGUUUGUCUUUUU
RNAcentral lists this microRNA precursor (194 nucleotides) under Oryza barthii. Its description in RNAcentral is "MIR812 microRNA precursor family". It matches the Rfam family "MIR812 microRNA precursor family". The record is from Rfam by way of RNAcentral. Lineage: Eukaryota; Viridiplantae; Streptophyta; Magnoliopsida; Poales; Poaceae.